This 253-nucleotide ribosomal RNA is filed under the name uncultured bacterium. RNAcentral's name for it is "partial 16S ribosomal RNA". It matches the Rfam family "Bacterial small subunit ribosomal RNA", at positions 524 to 776 of the family's 1533-position model. The record is from RNAcentral.
UACGUAGGGAGCAAGCGUUGUCCGGAAUCAUUGGGCGUAAAGCGCGCGUAGGUGGCUUCGUAAGUCCGUUGUGAAAGUCAAAGGCUCAACCUUUGAAAGCCGAUGGAUACUGCGGAGCUAGAGUACGGAAGAGGCGAGUGGAAUUCCUGGUGUAGCGGUGGAAUGCGCAGAUAUCAGGAAGAACACCCGUGGCGAAGGCGGUUCUCUGGGACGGUACUGACGCUGAGACGCGAAAGCGUGGGGAGCGAACAGG